This 497-nucleotide ribosomal RNA is filed under the name uncultured bacterium. RNAcentral's name for it is "partial 16S ribosomal RNA". It matches the Rfam family "Bacterial small subunit ribosomal RNA", at positions 30 to 523 of the family's 1533-position model. The record is from RNAcentral.
UUGAACGCUGGCGGCAGGCCUAACACAUGCAAGUCGAGCGCGAAAGGUUUUCGGACUAAGUAAAGCGGCGGACGGGUGAGUAACGCGUGGGAAUCUGCCCAGUAGUGGGGGACAACAGUCGGAAACGACUGCUAAUACCGCAUACGCCCUACGGGGGAAAGGGGGGGGAUCUUCGGACCUCUCGCUAUUGGAUGAGCCCGCGUCGGAUUAGCUAGUUGGUAGGGUAAAGGCCUACCAAGGCUACGAUCCGUAACUGGUCUGAGAGGAUGAUCAGUCACACUGGAACUGAGACACGGUCCAGACUCCUACGGGAGGCAGCAGUGGGGAAUAUUGGACAAUGGGGGCAACCCUGAUCCAGCCAUGCCGCGUGUGUGAAGAAGGCCUUAGGGUUGUAAAGCACUUUCAGUGGGGAGAAAGGUUUGUCACCUAAUACGUGAUGAAAUUGAUGUUACCCACAGAAGAAGCACCGGCUAACUCCGUGCCAGCCGCCGCCGUAA